Molecule: ribosomal RNA, 253 nt
Filed under: uncultured bacterium
Lineage: Bacteria
Description: partial 16S ribosomal RNA
Rfam family: Bacterial small subunit ribosomal RNA
Source: RNAcentral
UACGAAGGGGGCUAGCGUUGUUCGGAAUUACUGGGCGUAAAGCGCACGUAGGCGGGUCGUUAAGUCAGGGGUGAAAUCCCAGAGCUCAACUCUGGAACUGCCUUUGAUACUGGCGACCUAGAGUCCGGAAGAGGUUAGUGGAAUUCCCAGUGUAGAGGUGAAAUUCGUAGAUAUUCGGAAGAACACCAGUGGCGAAGGCGGCUCACUGGACCGGCAUUGACGCUGAGGUGCGAAAGCGUGGGGAGCAAACAGG